GUCAAUGUUUGUGUAGAUGAAACCAUCUCAUGCACUGUGGCUCCAGAGUUUCUGUUACUAGUUUAUGCACUUGGGAGACUGCUUAAAUGGAAGAUGUAGCACAUUUUGCUUUCCCAUUUAUUGUUUGGCCGGCUAUGCCAAUGUGGUGCUAUUGUUUCUUUAAGAAAGUACUUGACAAAAAAAAAAAAAAAAGGAAAAAAAAAAGGAAAAAAAGCAUAGACAUAUUUUUUUAAAGUAUGAGAACAACAAUUCUAUAGAUAGAUGGCUUAAUAAAAUAGCAUGAGGUCUCAUUACCACCAACUUUCAACUUUUUAAUCACUCACAAGUAGCAUACUGUUCACCAAAUUCCAAAUUAUGAGUUUGGGGGUGUAGGGGCAGAAGAUGGAAUUUUUGUAAAGUUAGAAGGCUCUGUUACUCUGUCGGCUCUUAAACUCAGCAAAAUUAGCAAUAUGUUAUCCAAUCUGAACACCUCGAUCAAGAGCAUAGAGUACAUUUUGGGGGAAAAAAAGGAUCUUAUAGGCAAAUGGCAGAACAAAAGAUGAUAAAGUCACUCGUUGAUUUUUGUGCUCUGCUCUAAAACUGAUAUUCAGCAAGUGGAGAAAAUUUUUUUAAAAAUGAGGGAAAAAAUUGCAUAGAUUAAAUCUGUUAAAAACAGCUUCCGCCACCUCCCCCUCAAGUCAUUCUCUGACAUUUACUGGUUUAUAGAAGAUACUCUCCCUUUGUCUAAACAUCUCAAGGAGCAGUAGCUCUCCUAAAAAGCAAUCACUGAUCUCAUUGGGAAGUGUUGGGAAGUAUUUCCUUAUGAGAUGGGGGUUAUCUACUGAUAAGGAAAGAAGAAUUUAUGAGAAAUCAUUGAAAGAGAUGGCUAACAAUCUGUGAAGAUUUUUUUUUUGUUUUCUUUUGUUUUUUACUUUAUACAGUCUUUAUGAAUAUCUUAAUGUUCAAAACCGAUUUGGUUCUUUCUUCUUCUUCUUCUUCUUUUUUUUUUUUUGUAUUGGAAUGAGGGAUGAUAAAUUAAACCCACAUAGACUCUUUAAAACUAUAGGCUAGAUAGAAGUGUAUGUUUGACUUGACUAUUUAAAAUGUUUUUUCUAUUUUUAAUCUUAAAAAAGUGUACUAAUUUAUUAGAGACAGAUCCUGUUUGGCUCUCUUCAUAAGAAAGAAGAAUCACCAGGGCUUUCCCAUCAAUGUUUUCAAAAGAUAAAUCUGAUUUAUCCAUCAUUAUGGCAUCAUUUAUUUUUUAAAAAAAUUUAAUACAAGAAUUGCAAUUCUUUAUGCCCCUCUCUUGCAAUGAUCAUGAAGUUCAAAAUAUGAGGGGUUAAAAACAAGAAGAAAAUUUUGUGGAUUCUUUGUUUUCGGUUUGUUUUCAGUGCUAAUGUUUAAUCCUAUAGUACAUAUUUGCUUAUUGCUAUGUUAAUAUUCUAAAAGACUUUCCUGUUAGGUGUUAGAAACUGAUACAUAGAUAUCUUUUUUGUGAUUUCUAUUUAAAAAAAAAAAAGGAGAUGAGAAGACUGAAGCUUUAAAGUGCAUAUGGUACAGGAUAAAGAUACCAACUGAAAUAACCAAGUCCAUCCUAAAACAAUUUUUUUUUUUUUUUUUUUUUUGGCGGGGGAACUUCUCAUACAUAAGACAGAAGCCCAGGGAAUUUUUGAAACUAUCUCUAUUCCUCCCAGUCCUUAUUCAAUUAAUAUUUGCCUCAAAAUUGUAUAGAGGGGUCACCAAGCUGAAACCCUGUAAUUCAAGGGGCUUCUUUAAAAAAUACAUAUUCUACACAUUCCCUCUUAAUUUAUGACUACACGUUGAUCUUAAACAUGGUCCCUUUUCUUCCUUGUUCUUCAGCUGUCCUUGACAUGGUAUUUAAAGGAAAAAAUAUAUAUAAUUUUAAAAGGGGAACAAAAAAGUUCAAACAUUACUGCCCAAUUGAAAUGUGAGUUAAAAUGGAAAUAGUUUCUCCUGCUUAAUCCCUGCUGAAUCACCUGUCGCCUUCAGAAUUACUUUUCACAACCCUUAUAAUCUACCCUUUUUUUUUUAACUACCCAGGCCUACUGCAUCCUAAAAGUAAACAUUAUCCAUUUCCUUUUGCCCAAAAUGCACUGAUGUAAAAGUAGGGGAAAAAAAAAACCUCAAAGUUCCAAGUCACCCACCCACUGGCCCCAUUUACCUACUGAGAGCAAAGUCACUUCUGUUAAUCCCUUAAUCUGAUUGUUUGGAUAUUUAUCUUGUACCUGCUGCUAAAUACACUGCAGGAGGGACUCUGAAACCUCGAACUGUCUACUCACAUCUCUUAUCUGUAUCUGUGUAUCAUUAGAAUGUCUAUUCAAAAUAUUAAAAACUUUCAAACACCAUGCAGCUUGUAUUCAGUUUACAUAAAGGCCCCAAAUAUCAUGUCAGAUCUUUUGUUACUAAGGGAGUUAAUGAACUAUGAGAACUGGGAUUAUAUCAUGUGUUUUGCUUCAUACGGUUUUAUCACACUUACAAGCCAAGUGUGAUAAAUACACAUACAGACACUGAAUUUUUUUUCCCUGCUACUUUGAAACCAGGAAAUAAUGAUUGGUCAUUCAUUUUAUCUGUCUUAGUUCAAGAGCAUAUUUUUUAUUAAAUUAACUCUGAUUGUAUUUGAAAUCAUUAUUCAUUUAUGGCAGAGGAAUAUCAAUCCUAAUGACUUCUAAAACUGUAACUAACUGAAUCAUUAUCUUACAUUUACUGUUAAGUAAGCAUAUUUGGAAAAAUGUAUGGCUAGAGCGUCAUAAUAAAAUGAUAUAUCUUUCUUUAGUAAUUACAUUAAAAUUAAUCACAUUUGAUUAAUUAGUUCUUUUGGACAAUGUUGGUGUGUCAUUCCUUAAGAAUUCUGUUGUUCUGUAGCAUUUCUAUCAAUUAAGGUCACUGCAACAAAUAAACAAGAAAACUUACCCAGAAAAAAAGUAAAACUAAUCAUACAACAGAAUGGAGAUAUCUUACAGAAUUUACAGAUUAUAUAUAUAUUUUUAAUUUUUUUAUUGGAGUUCAAUUUGCCAACAUUUAGCAUAACACACAGUGCUCAUCCUGCCAAAUGCCCCCCUCAGUGCCCAUCACCCAGUCAUCCCAACCCCCUGCCCACCUCCCCUUCUACUACCCCUUGUUCAUUUCCCAGAGUUAGGUGUCGUGUUUUGUCACCCUCACUGAAAUUUUCACUCAUUUUCUCUCCGUUUAUUCCCUUUUGCUAAUUUUUAUAUUCCCCAAAUGAAUGAGACCAUAUAAUGUUUGUCCUUUUCCAAUUGACUUAUUUCACUCAGCAUAAUACCCUCCAGUUCCAUCCAUGUCGAAGCAAAUGGUGGGUAUUUGUCGUUUCUAAAUGCUGGGACACCUGCACCCCGAUGUUUAUAGCAGCAAUGUCCACAAUAGCCAAACUGAAAGGAGCCUCGGUGUCCAUCAAAAGAUGAAUGGAUAAACAAGAUGUGGUUUAUGUAUACAAUGGAAUAUUACUCAUCCAUUACAGAUUAUAUUUAAAAAUAAAUGUUUCAAAGAACUUGUA
This 3511-nucleotide long non-coding RNA is filed under the name Canis lupus familiaris (dog). Its description in RNAcentral is "lncRNA (ENSCAFG00000052706.1)". The record is from RNAcentral. Lineage: Eukaryota; Metazoa; Chordata; Mammalia; Carnivora; Canidae.